CCUACGGGCGGCAGCAGUGGGGAAUAUUGGACAAUGGGCGAAAGCCUGAUCCAGCCAUGCCGCGUGUGUGAAGAAGGCCUUCGGGUUGUAAAGCACUUUCAGUGGGGAAGAAAGCCUUGGGGCUAAUACCCUCGAGGAAGGACAUCACCCACAGAAGAAGCACCGGCUAACUCCGUGCCAGCAGCCGCGGUAAUACGGAGGGUGCGAGCGUUAAUCGGAAUUACUGGGCGUAAAGCGCGCGUAGGCGGUCUGAUAAGCCGGUUGUGAAAGCCCCGGGCUCAACCUGGGAACGGCAUCCGGAACUGUCAGGCUAGAGUGCAGGAGAGGAAGGUAGAAUUCCCGGGGUAGCGGUGAAAUGCGUAGAGAUCGGGAGGAAUACCAGUGGCGAAGGCGGUCUUCUGGACUGACACUGACGCUGAGGUGCGAAAGCGUGGGUAGCAAACAGGAUUAGAUACCCGGGUAGUC
RNAcentral lists this ribosomal RNA (465 nucleotides) under Vreelandella stevensii. RNAcentral's name for it is "partial 16S ribosomal RNA". It matches the Rfam family "Bacterial small subunit ribosomal RNA", at positions 338 to 795 of the family's 1533-position model. Lineage: Bacteria; Pseudomonadati; Pseudomonadota; Gammaproteobacteria; Oceanospirillales; Halomonadaceae. The record is from RNAcentral.